UAGCCUUGUAGCGGGGGAUAACUAUUGGAAACGAUAGCUAAUACCGCAUAACAAUGGAUGACACAUGUCAUUUAUUUGAAAGGGGCAAUUGCUCCACUACAAGAUGGACCUGCGUUGUAUUAGCUAGUAGGUGAGGUAAUGGCUCACCUAGGCGACGAUACAUAGCCGACCUGAGAGGGUGAUCGGCCACACUGGGACUGAGACACGGCCCAG
Molecule: ribosomal RNA, 213 nt
Filed under: uncultured bacterium
Lineage: Bacteria
Description: partial 16S ribosomal RNA
Rfam family: Bacterial small subunit ribosomal RNA
Source: RNAcentral